This 223-nucleotide ribosomal RNA is filed under the name uncultured bacterium. Its description in RNAcentral is "partial 16S ribosomal RNA". It matches the Rfam family "Bacterial small subunit ribosomal RNA", at positions 112 to 334 of the family's 1533-position model. The record is from RNAcentral.
CGGACGUAAAGAACUUGCCUCACAGCUAGGGACAAUAUUUAAAAAUGAAUGCUAAUACCUGAUAUUAUGAUUUUAAGGCAUCUUAGAAUUAUGAAAGCUAUAAGCACUGUGAGAGAGCUUUGCGUCCCAUUAGCUAGUUGGAGAGGUAACAGCUCACCAAGGCGAUGAUGGGUAGCCGGCCUGAGAGGGUGAACGGCCACAAGGGAACUGAGACACGGCCCUU